RNAcentral lists this ribosomal RNA (781 nucleotides) under uncultured Mycobacterium sp. RNAcentral's name for it is "bacterial SSU rRNA". It matches the Rfam family "Bacterial small subunit ribosomal RNA", at positions 555 to 1334 of the family's 1533-position model. The record is from RNAcentral. Lineage: Bacteria; Bacillati; Actinomycetota; Actinomycetes; Mycobacteriales; Mycobacteriaceae.
UGGGCGUAAAGAGCUCGUAGGUGGUUUGUCGCGUUGUUCGUGAAAUCUCACGGCUUAACUGUGAGCGUGCGGGCGAUACGGGCAGACUUGAGUACUGCAGGGGAGACUGGAAUUCCUGGUGUAGCGGUGGAAUGCGCAGAUAUCAGGAGGAACACCGGUGGCGAAGGCGGGUCUCUGGGCAGUAACUGACGCUGAGGAGCGAAAGCGUGGGGAGCGAACAGGAUUAGAUACCCUGGUAGUCCACGCCGUAAACGGUGGGUACUAGGUGUGGGUUUCCUUCCUUGGGAUCCGUGCCGUAGCUAACGCAUUAAGUACCCCGCCUGGGGAGUACGGCCGCAAGGCUAAAACUCAAAGAAAUUGACGGGGGCCCGCACAAGCGGCGGAGCAUGUGGAUUAAUUCGAUGCAACGCGAAGAACCUUACCUGGGUUUGACAUGCACAGGACGCCGGCAGAGAUGUCGGUUCCCUUGUGGCCUGUGUGCAGGUGGUGCAUGGCUGUCGUCAGCUCGUGUCGUGAGAUGUUGGGUUAAGUCCCGCAACGAGCGCAACCCUUGUCUCAUGUUGCCAGCGGGUAAUGCCGGGGACUCGUGAGAGACUGCCGGGGUCAACUCGGAGGAAGGUGGGGAUGACGUCAAGUCAUCAUGCCCCUUAUGUCCAGGGCUUCACACAUGCUACAAUGGCCGGUACAAAGGGCUGCGAUGCCGCGAGGUUAAGCGAAUCCUUUUAAAGCCGGUCUCAGUUCGGAUCGGGGUCUGCAACUCGACCCCGUGAAGUCGGAGUCG